RNAcentral lists this unclassified non-coding RNA (295 nucleotides) under Hevea brasiliensis (rubber tree). Lineage: Eukaryota; Viridiplantae; Streptophyta; Magnoliopsida; Malpighiales; Euphorbiaceae. The record is from RNAcentral.
UUUGCUGUUUUUUCUAGCUGUUGAGGAUAACUUUUACAAGUACAAUCAGAGGCCUUGAUGCCAAACUAAAUGAAACUUCACAGCAUUAAACUUGUAUGUAUGACAAGAAAAAAAAACAUCUUGCGGUAGUUAGUCACAAGUCUUUAAGCUACUUGUAUAUAUCUGCAACAGGGACAACAAAAGGUUUCAACUAUCUUCAGAAGCAUAAUACUAGUGCUACAGGAUAGAACACCAUUAGACAAGGACAUACUUUUACAGCACAUACAUUUACAAGGUAUACAGACAUGAGAUGAGG